CCCGCCGGCGACCGGCGCACGGGUGAGUAACACGUAUGCAACCUGGCCGCCACAGGGGGAUAACCCGCGGAAACGCGGCCUAAUACCCCGUGACGCCACCGGAGGGCAUCCUCCGGUGGCCAAAGGAGCGAUCCGGUGGCGGAUGGGCAUGCGGCGCAUUAGCUAGACGGCGGGGUGACGGCCCACCGUGGCGACGAUGCGUAGGGGUUCUGAGAGGAAGGCCCCCCACACUGGGACUGAGACACGGUCCAAACUCCUACGGAAGGCAGCAG
Molecule: ribosomal RNA, 272 nt
Filed under: uncultured bacterium
Lineage: Bacteria
Description: partial 16S ribosomal RNA
Rfam family: Bacterial small subunit ribosomal RNA
Source: RNAcentral